GUGUAGUCAUAUUAGGAUGACAUUGAAUUGCAAAUUCAAAGGAGGGCAGGGCCCUAUAAUCU
This 62-nucleotide transfer RNA is filed under the name Scolytinae sp. BMNH 1274287. RNAcentral's name for it is "tRNA-Cys". Lineage: Eukaryota; Metazoa; Arthropoda; Insecta; Coleoptera; Curculionidae. The record is from RNAcentral.